This 447-nucleotide ribosomal RNA is filed under the name Microbispora sp. KK1-11. RNAcentral's name for it is "bacterial SSU rRNA". It matches the Rfam family "Bacterial small subunit ribosomal RNA", at positions 338 to 778 of the family's 1533-position model. Lineage: Bacteria; Bacillati; Actinomycetota; Actinomycetes; Streptosporangiales; Streptosporangiaceae. The record is from RNAcentral.
CCUACGGGAGGCUGCAGUAGGGAAUCUUCCACAAUGAACGAAAGUUUGAUGAAGCAACGCCGCGUGAAUGAAGAAGGGUUUCGGCUCGUAAAAUUCUGUUGUUGGAGAAGAACGAGCAUAAGAGUAAAUGCCGUAGAGUGACGGUAUCUGAUUAGAAAGUCACGGCUAACUACGUGCCAGCAGCCGCGGUAAUACGUAGGUGGCAAGCGUUGUCCGGAUUUAUUGGGCGUAAAGCGAGCGCAGGUGGUCAUUUAAGUCAGAUGUGAAAGCCUUCGGCUUAACAGAAGAAGUGCAUAGGACACUGAAUGACUUGAGUACAGAAGAGGACAGUAGAACUCCAUGAGUAGCGGUGAAAUGCGUAGAUUUAUGGAAGAAUACCAGUGGCGAAAGCGGCUGUCUGGUCUGUCACUGACGCUGAGGCUCGAAAGCCUGGGUAGCAAACAGGAU